GAGUUCUCCCUGAGACUUUAAGUCUCCUGAAGGAACGUUAAAGACGAUGACGUUGAUAGGCCGGGUGUGUAAGCGCAGCGAUGCGUUGAGCUAACCGGUACUAAUGAACCGUGAGGCUUAACCUUACAACGCCGAAG
Molecule: ribosomal RNA, 137 nt
Filed under: Klebsiella pneumoniae
Lineage: Bacteria; Pseudomonadati; Pseudomonadota; Gammaproteobacteria; Enterobacterales; Enterobacteriaceae
Description: partial 23S ribosomal RNA
Rfam family: Bacterial large subunit ribosomal RNA
Source: RNAcentral